GGAAAACCUGGCGCCUCCUGCCCGGAUCAGACGACUCGAAACUGCACGGAGUGGAAAGGGGGGGGGGAGUAAAAACAGUGAAAAAAGAGGAGAGAUCGCUGAAAUGCAGGCUUGGGACUGGGAGGAUGGAGGGAUGUCGUGUUGCUGCACUGAGCGUUACAGGCCGCAUAGGCUGCAAGAAAAGCAGGAAUCACGAAAAUCAACAAUUUCGUCAAGAGCUGCACAACUGCUGCAAGAUGCACCACUACAGAGGGAAAUGGCCAUUCUUUUUUUGUUAAUCAGGAAUGUGAGAGUACUUCCUGCUUUGUUACAAAAUGUAAAUAUAUCGUAGGUAUUUUUAACGACCAAGGUGACUCAUUAAUUAGAUAUUCUUUUGUCGCCCACAAUAAUUUAAAAGGAAAAUGCAUAUUUUUGCAUGAAUAUUUUGCUAUAGCCUACAAACCUUUGAUUUAGCCUAAUGCAGCCGCUGAAACGAUUUGGUGACCGUCAUAACUAUAUAUAUUCAUAUUUUUUAUGUCAUUUUUCAUUUAGACACAUCUCAUUCGCUCUCAGGACUGCACCAGUUCUUUUGCAAACUGCUAUGAGCUAUUUAAAUAAAUGAAUAAAAAAAUCAUAUGGGCAUAAAACUGUGACAAAUCUCUACAGGACAAAUAAAAACAAAAACUGA
This is a long non-coding RNA of Siniperca chuatsi (mandarin fish), 667 nucleotides long. RefSeq lists it as uncharacterized. The record is from RefSeq and is a predicted model, not a curated record. Lineage: Eukaryota; Metazoa; Chordata; Actinopteri; Centrarchiformes; Sinipercidae. The transcript has 2 exons.